GUCUUUUUGAUUUAAUAAAAGGUUUGAUCUGCCCACUGAAUUUUAAAUGGCCGCGGUAUUUUGACUGUGCAAAGGUAGCAUAAUAAUUAGUUUAUUAAUUGUAAGCUUGUAUGAAUGAUUUGAUGAAAGUAUUGUUGUCUUUGAUUUUUACAUAGAAUUUUAAUUUUCAUUAAAAAUGAUGAAAUAAAUAAAUGGGACGAGAAGACCCUAUAGAGUUUUAUAUAUACCGAAUAUAGAUUUAAAGAUAAAAGUUAUUUAAUUGGGGUAAUUAAUUUAUAUUGGAAUUAAGUGUGAUAAGACUAUAUAAAAGGAUAAUGGAGCUAUUAAUAAUUAUUAGAUUAAAUUACCUUAGGGAUAACAGUGUAAUAAUAUAUAUAGUACGUAUAAAAUAUAUUGUUUGCAACCUCGAUGUUGGAUUAAGAAAA
Molecule: ribosomal RNA, 425 nt
Filed under: Zorotypus shannoni
Lineage: Eukaryota; Metazoa; Arthropoda; Insecta; Zoraptera; Zorotypidae
Description: partial 16S ribosomal RNA
Source: RNAcentral